This 442-nucleotide ribosomal RNA is filed under the name uncultured bacterium. RNAcentral's name for it is "partial 16S ribosomal RNA". It matches the Rfam family "Bacterial small subunit ribosomal RNA", at positions 338 to 795 of the family's 1533-position model. The record is from RNAcentral.
CCUACGGGAGGUAGCAGUGGGGAAUAUUGGGCAAUGGGCGCAAGCCUGACCCAGCAACGCCGCGUGAAGGAAGAAGGCUUUCGGGUUGUAAACUUCUUUUAAGGGGGAAGAGCAGAAGACGGUACCCCUUGAAUAAGCCACGGCUAACUACGUGCCAGCAGCCGCGGUAAUACGUAGGUGGCAAGCGUUGUCCGGAUUUACUGGGUGUAAAGGGCGUGCAGCCGGGUUGACAAGUCAGAUGUGAAAUCCACGGGCUCAACCCGUGAACUGCAUUUGAAACUGUUUCCCUUGAGUGUCGGAGAGGUAAACGGAAUUCCUUGUGUAGCGGUGAAAUGCGUAGAUAUAAGGAAGAACACCAGUGGCGAAGGCGGAUUACUGGACGAUAACUGACGGUGAGGCGCGAAAGCGUGGGGAGCAAACAGGAUUAGAUACCCUAGUAGUC